RNAcentral lists this ribosomal RNA (499 nucleotides) under uncultured bacterium. Its description in RNAcentral is "bacterial SSU rRNA". It matches the Rfam family "Bacterial small subunit ribosomal RNA", at positions 8 to 498 of the family's 1533-position model. The record is from RNAcentral.
AGAGUUUGAUCCUGGCUCAGAUUGAACGCUGGCGGCAGGCCUAACACAUGCAAGUCGAGCGGUAGCACAGAGAGCUUGCUCUCGGGUGACGAGCGGCGGACGGGUGAGUAAUGUCUGGGAAACUGCCUGAUGGAGGGGGAUAACUACUGGAAACGGUAGCUAAUACCGCAUAACGUCGCAAGACCAAAGUGGGGGACCUUCGGGCCUCAUGCCAUCAGAUGUGCCCAGAUGGGAUUAGCUAGUAGGUGGGGUAAUGGCUCACCUAGGCGACGAUCCCUAGCUGGUCUGAGAGGAUGACCAGCCACACUGGAACUGAGACACGGUCCAGACUCCUACGGGAGGCAGCAGUGGGGAAUAUUGCACAAUGGGCGCAAGCCUGAUGCAGCCAUGCCGCGUGUAUGAAGAAGGCCUUCGGGUUGUAAAGUACUUUCAGCGAGGAGGAAGGCGUUAAGGUUAAUAACCUUGGCGAUUGACGUUACUCGCAGAAGAAGCACCGGCU